UACAGGGGGUGCAAACGUUGCUCGGAAUUAUUGGGCGUAAAGCGCACGUAGGCGGAUCAUUAAGUCAGGGGUGAAAUCCUGGAGCUCAACUCCAGAACUGCCUUUGAUACUGGGGAUCUCGAGUCCGGGAGAGGUGAGUGGAACUCCGAGUGUAGAGGUGAAAUUCGUAGAUAUUCGGAAGAACACCAGUGGCGAAGGCGGCUCACUGGCCCGGUACUGACGCUGAGGUGCGAAAGCGUGGGGAGCAAACAGG
This 253-nucleotide ribosomal RNA is filed under the name uncultured bacterium. RNAcentral describes it as "partial 16S ribosomal RNA". It matches the Rfam family "Bacterial small subunit ribosomal RNA", at positions 524 to 776 of the family's 1533-position model. The record is from RNAcentral.